Molecule: ribosomal RNA, 1204 nt
Filed under: Salmonella enterica subsp. enterica serovar Richmond
Lineage: Bacteria; Pseudomonadati; Pseudomonadota; Gammaproteobacteria; Enterobacterales; Enterobacteriaceae
Description: partial 23S ribosomal RNA
Rfam family: Bacterial large subunit ribosomal RNA
Source: RNAcentral
AUGUAGGUGAAGUGAUUUACUCAUGGAGCUGAAGUCAGUCGAAGAUACCAGCUGGCUGCAACUGUUUAUUAAAAACACAGCACUGUGCAAACACGAAAGUGGACGUAUACGGUGUGACGCCUGCCCGGUGCCGGAAGGUUAAUUGAUGGGGUCAGCGCAAGCGAAGCUCCUGAUCGAAGCCCCGGUAAACGGCGGCCGUAACUAUAACGGUCCUAAGGUAGCGAAAUUCCUUGUCGGGUAAGUUCCGACCUGCACGAAUGGCGUAAUGAUGGCCAGGCUGUCUCCACCCGAGACUCAGUGAAAUUGAACUCGCUGUGAAGAUGCAGUGUACCCGCGGCAAGACGGAAAGACCCCGUGAACCUUUACUAUAGCUUGACACUGAACAUUGAGCCUUGAUGUGUAGGAUAGGUGGGAGGCUUUGAAGCGUGGACGCCAGUCUGCGUGGAGCCGACCUUGAAAUACCACCCUUUAAUGUUUGAUGUUCUAACGUGGACCCGUAAUCCGGGUUGCGGACAGUGUCUGGUGGGUAGUUUGACUGGGGCGGUCUCCUCCUAAAGAGUAACGGAGGAGCACGAAGGUUGGCUAAUCCUGGUCGGACAUCAGGAGGUUAGUGCAAUGGCAUAAGCCAGCUUGACUGCGAGCGUGACGGCGCGAGCAGGUGCGAAAGCAGGUCAUAGUGAUCCGGUGGUUCUGAAUGGAAGGGCCAUCGCUCAACGGAUAAAAGGUACUCCGGGGAUAACAGGCUGAUACCGCCCAAGAGUUCAUAUCGACGGCGGUGUUUGGCACCUCGAUGUCGGCUCAUCACAUCCUGGGGCUGAAGUAGGUCCCAAGGGUAUGGCUGUUCGCCAUUUAAAGUGGUACGCGAGCUGGGUUUAGAACGUCGUGAGACAGUUCGGUCCCUAUCUGCCGUGGGCGCUGGAGAACUGAGGGGGGCUGCUCCUAGUACGAGAGGACCGGAGUGGACGCAUCACUGGUGUUCGGGUUGUCAUGCCAAUGGCACUGCCCGGUAGCUAAAUGCGGAAGAGAUAAGUGCUGAAAGCAUCUAAGCACGAAACUUGCCCCGAGAUGAGUUCUCCCUGAGACUUAGAGUCUCCUGAAGGAACGUUGAAGACGACGACGUUGAUAGGCCGGGUGUGUAAGCGCAGCGAUGCGUUGAGCUAACCGGUACUAAUGAACCGUGAGGCUUAACCUUACAACGCCGAAG